This 396-nucleotide ribosomal RNA is filed under the name uncultured Acidimicrobiales bacterium. Its description in RNAcentral is "bacterial SSU rRNA". It matches the Rfam family "Bacterial small subunit ribosomal RNA", at positions 360 to 771 of the family's 1533-position model. Lineage: Bacteria; Bacillati; Actinomycetota; Acidimicrobiia; Acidimicrobiales. The record is from RNAcentral.
AAUCUUGCGCAAUGGGCGAAAGCCUGACGCAGCAACGCCGCGUGGGGGACGAAGGCUUUCUGAGUUGUAAACCCCUUUCAGCAGGGACGAUUGUGACGGUACCUGCAGAAGAAGCACCGGCCAACUACGUGCCAGCAGCCGCGGUGAUACGUAGGGUGCAAGCGUUGUCCGGAUUUAUUGGGCGUAAAGAGCUCGUAGGCGGUUUGAUAAGUCGGAUGUGAAAUCCCCAGGCUCAACCUGGGGCUGCCAUUCGAUACUGUCAUGACUUGAGUCCGGUAGGGGACCAUGGAAUUCCUGGUGUAGCGGUGAAAUGCGCAGAUAUCAGGAGGAACACCAGCAGCGAAGGCGGUGGUCUGGGCCGGUACUGACGCUGAGGAGCGAAAGCGUGGGGAGCGA